Panicum virgatum (switchgrass) is the source of this 686-nucleotide long non-coding RNA. RefSeq lists it as uncharacterized. The record is from RefSeq and is a predicted model, not a curated record. Lineage: Eukaryota; Viridiplantae; Streptophyta; Magnoliopsida; Poales; Poaceae. The transcript is spliced from 2 exons.
UAUCAUAUACUAUUGUCUAGUGUAUAGGAUAUCCAAUAAACAAUAGAUGCAAUAGAUCACACUGAUUACAUAGUUUGAACCUACUGCUCUGGUUUGAACCUUCUUUCUUAUAUGUUGUUGUUACUCAGGUAGCUUGUUGUUUAGCUUGUUUUCUCAACAUGUCUGCAAACUCAUCUGAAAGCUCUGAUGAUUCUCAUUCAACCCAAACGCGUGUUAGAAGAUCCAAGGUUUGGGAAUAUUUUGAGCAGAAUUUAGUUGAAGCUGAUGAUGGUUUUAAAGCUGUGUGCAAGUAUUGUCAAAUCCGUUUAAGCACUAAGUCAGGAACUAGCAGCCUUAGGACCCAUAUUUCUCAUCAUUGUCAUGCAAUUGGGGAAGCUGAUAGGAAAAGAUUUGUUACCUGCAUGGUUGCAGUAGUACUAAUAAGUUCUUGAAUAAUAUUGGUCAAUCUAUUAGAUACAAGUAUAUCAUUUGGAGGUUAAGAUGUUGCACUCUUGUGAAGUUCAGUGCUCGUUUUGUUCAGCUUGAUGUCUGCAAUGGAUGAAGUUCUCUUGUUCUAAUUGUUGGAUGCUUCAUCAUCGUACAAGCUCUGAUUGUAUAAUAAUCCUUGUUGUCACUAGUUUCAGAUUCUCGUCAACUCAUGACCUAGUGGCCCUCUAUUUUAACGUAGCUAAUGGAACAUUUAAGCA